This 253-nucleotide ribosomal RNA is filed under the name uncultured bacterium. RNAcentral describes it as "partial 16S ribosomal RNA". It matches the Rfam family "Bacterial small subunit ribosomal RNA", at positions 524 to 776 of the family's 1533-position model. The record is from RNAcentral.
UACGUAGGGGGCUAGCGUUGUCCGGAUUUAUUGGGCGUAAAGAGCGUGUAGGCGGCCAGGUAGGUCUGCUGUGAAAACUCGAGGCUCAACCUCGAGAUGUCGGCGGAAACCAUCUGGCUAGAGUCCGGAAGAGGAGAGUGGAAUUCCUGGUGUAGCGGUGAAAUGCGCAGAUAUCAGGAAGAACACCCGUGGCGAAGGCGGCUCUCUGGGACGGUACUGACGCUGAGACGCGGAAGCGUGGGGAGCGAACAGG